UACGUAGGGGGCGAGCGUUGUUCGGAUUUACUGGGCGUAAAGGGCGCGCAGGCGGCUCUGUUUGUCAGGCGUGAAAGCCCCGGGCUUAACCUGGGAACUGCGUUUGAUACUGAGAAGCUUGAGUCCGGGAGAGGUGAGUGGAACUGCGAGUGUAGAGGUGAAAUUCGUAGAUAUUCGCAAGAACACCAGUGGCGAAGGCGGCUCACUGGCCCGGUACUGACGCUGAGGUGCGAAAGCGUGGGGAGCAAACAGG
This 253-nucleotide ribosomal RNA is filed under the name uncultured bacterium. RNAcentral's name for it is "partial 16S ribosomal RNA". It matches the Rfam family "Bacterial small subunit ribosomal RNA", at positions 524 to 776 of the family's 1533-position model. The record is from RNAcentral.